GGGGAUGUAGCUCAGUGGUAGAGCGCUCGCUUCGCGUGUGAGAGGCCCCGGGUUCAAACCCCGGCAUCUCCA
Molecule: non-coding RNA, 72 nt
Organism: Stegodyphus mimosarum
Lineage: Eukaryota; Metazoa; Arthropoda; Arachnida; Araneae; Eresidae
Source: Rfam